CCUACGGGUGGCUGCAGUGGGGAAUAUUGCACAAUGGGGGAAACCCUGAUGCAGCGACGCCGCGUGAGCGAUGAAGUAUUUCGGUAUGUAAAGCUCUAUCAGCAGGGAAGAAAAUGACGGUACCUGACUAAGAAGCCCCGGCUAACUACGUGCCAGCAGCCGCGGUAAUACGUAGGGGGCAAGCGUUAUCCGGAUUUACUGGGUGGAAAGGGAGCGUAGACGGCUUGGCAAGCCAGAUGUGAAAGGCUGGGGGUCAACCUCAGGACUGCAGUUGGAACUGUCAUGCUAGCGUGUCGGAGAGGCAGGUGGAAUGCCUGGUGUAGCGGUGAAAUGCGUAGAUAUUAGGAGGAACCCCAGUGGCGAAGGCGGCCUGCUGGACGAUGACUGACGUUGAGGCUCGAAAGCGUGGGGAGCAAACAGGAUUAGAUACCCGAGUAGUC
This 440-nucleotide ribosomal RNA is filed under the name uncultured bacterium. RNAcentral's name for it is "partial 16S ribosomal RNA". It matches the Rfam family "Bacterial small subunit ribosomal RNA", at positions 338 to 795 of the family's 1533-position model. The record is from RNAcentral.